This 460-nucleotide ribosomal RNA is filed under the name uncultured bacterium. RNAcentral describes it as "partial 16S ribosomal RNA". It matches the Rfam family "Bacterial small subunit ribosomal RNA", at positions 338 to 795 of the family's 1533-position model. The record is from RNAcentral.
CCUACGGGAGGCAGCAGUGAGGAAUAUUGGUCAAUGGCCGGAAGGCUGAACCAGCCAUGCCGCGUGAAGGUCAGUGCCCUAUGGGCGUUAAACUUCUUUUGUGCGGGAGCAAUAAUGGUCACGUGUGGCCAGACGAGAGUACCGUACGAAUAAGCAUCGGCUAACUCCGUGCCAGCAGCCGCGGUAAUACGGGGGAUGCAAGCGUUAUCCGGAGUUAUUGGGUUUAAAGGGUGCGUAGGCUGUGAGGUAAGUCAGCGGUGAAAUGCCCCCGCUCAACGGGGUGAAGUGCCAUUGAUACUGCCUGGCUGGAAUGCGGAGGCGGUGGGAGGAAUGUGUGGUGUAGCGGUGAAAUGCAUAGAUAUCACACAGAACACCGAUUGCGAAGGCAUCUCACGAAUCCGCGAUUGACGCUGAUGCACGAAAGCGUGGGUAUCAAACAGGAUUAGAUACCCCUGUAGUC